This 1567-nucleotide transfer RNA is filed under the name Podarcis lilfordi (Lilford's wall lizard). The stretch from base 758 to 829 matches the Rfam family "tRNA". Lineage: Eukaryota; Metazoa; Chordata; Lepidosauria; Squamata; Lacertidae. The record is from RNAcentral.
GCGAUGAGAUAAGAGCUCCGGGCAAGAAAACGGAGCCGUGUCCUCGGCCCGUAAGAGCCAAGUUAUAAAAAACUCGAAAGCUUUCUUCUAUACGUGAUUUGUGACAUUUUAGUUGGCCUUGAUAAACGUGGCUAUUGGAGGGGAGAAAAGUUUCGCUAUGAGGGAGUAUCGGGGUGGGAGACGGCGGAGGGGAGGAAGGAGGCAAAAGAACAAGGCGGGAAAGUAAGUUGCAGUGAGGGGCUAUUGGAAUGGACUCCUGUCAGGGGCAGCCCCACAACCGGGAUUUAUUUCGGGGGGGGCCGGCAUUCUGUGGGGAGGGGUUAUUUAUUUACUUGUUGGGGGGCAGCGGCCCCAUUGACGUAGGCAAGGAGGGCCAGGGAGGGGAAGUUGCCCCCCCAAUAAUGAAACUCUAUACAUAACAAACUGAGGUUCUCUCCCCCCCCACACACACAAAAGGCCUGCCCCCCCCUCCACAAAAAUGCUGGCUUCGCCCCUGCCCUCUUAACUCUCACGCUCCCUCACACCCUCAGCAGACUGGAGCUUUUCCCGCCUGGGGAACCCGCAGUCGCUUAGCAGAGACUCAAGUGCAAUUAUUAGCUUUAGAUCGAAAUAUCUCUUUUCAUCCGCCAGACUCUUAACGUUUCCCGCGCUCCCCACCCCCGCUUAACUUUCCCAACCGCCGUAUAUUUUUGAAUCGGGUAUCUUUCAGCUGUCGCGCUCAGCGAGUUCUGCAGCCCUGCCUGCCACAAACCACCAGGACCUCGUGGCGCAACGGUAGCGCGUCUGACUCCAGAUCAGAAGGCUGCGUGUUCGAAUCACGUCGGGGUCAAAGGUUUUUUUUAUCUUGGUAAGUAUUUCCUCGUAACUGCCAAACACCCGUAAUACAGAAAGUGCUUCUUGUGCUAGAUGCUGCUAUUAUUUAAGUGGUAACUGUAGUCAUGCAUACACCCCCACUGACAUGUAAAUCCAUUCAUAAAGUGUGUUGGCCCAUUUAAGCCCAGCAGUGAACUUGUCCUGACUCUUGUAGCUGCUGCUCUUUCUGCAUACGUGAAUGGACAACAAGUGACACUUGCAUUUAUUUGUGCAGACCUCAUCCUGCCUCAUAGGUGGGCCAGCCCUGUAGCUAACCCUAUAAGGAGCUUCGCUUGUGAAUGGUCUACUUUCACAAGCAGUUUAACUUCAGAAGUAAGGGUGCAUGCAGUAUCUCUUUCUGUAACUAGAAAAAUCACACCGUGCAUUUUUUUGCUAACUAUCGAAGUAACUUCUGCAAUCCUUUAUGUGACUACUUCAGAUGUUAAUUUAUGCACAGAAAAACAAACAAAGUGUUAAGAGUUGGGGGCAAGAGUAGGCUGUAUGCCUCAGUCCCUUCUAAUUCCUGGUGAGGUAAUGUCCCCCUAAGUGUGGGCCGUUAAGAUAACAAAGGAAGUGGUUCUGUGGCAGAAAACAAAUGGGUGGGCUGCCCUCCCUAAACUUGCUUAUUGUUCAAAGACAAAGGCCAGAGUUUAGUUGUGUAUGUGAUGUAGAAGCUGGACACAAGUGGCAGGCUGAAGCCUGUAAGGGAAAGACA